RNAcentral lists this ribosomal RNA (270 nucleotides) under uncultured bacterium. Its description in RNAcentral is "partial 16S ribosomal RNA". It matches the Rfam family "Bacterial small subunit ribosomal RNA", at positions 28 to 293 of the family's 1533-position model. The record is from RNAcentral.
GACGAACGCUGGCGGCGUGCCUAACACAUGCAAGUCGAACGGGACCGGGGGCAACUCCGGUUCAGUGGCAGAUGGGUGCGUAACACGUGAGGAACUUGUCCGUCGGCGGGGGAUAGCCGGCCCAACGGCCGGGUAAUACCGCAUACGCUCGUUCGGGGGCAUCCCUGGGCGAGGAAAGCAGCCGCAAGGUUGCGCCGGUGGAGAGUCUCGCGGCCUAUCAGCUUGUUGGCGGGGUAAUGGCCCACCAAGGCGACGACGGGUAGCUGGUCU